Molecule: small RNA, 347 nt
Filed under: Phascolarctobacterium sp.
Lineage: Bacteria; Bacillati; Bacillota; Negativicutes; Acidaminococcales; Acidaminococcaceae
Description: transfer-messenger RNA
Rfam family: transfer-messenger RNA
About the family: Bacterial tmRNA, also known as 10Sa RNA or SsrA, is named for its dual tRNA and mRNA-like properties. Its role is to liberate the mRNA from a stalled ribosome. To accomplish this part of the tmRNA is used as a reading frame that ends in a translation stop signal.
Source: RNAcentral
GGGGAUGUACCGUUUAAGAAGGGGGAACUUGAUACUCAAUAAGCGAGCAGUGAUCCUGCCUCUCACUUAAAACGGUAGAAACUUAAACUAAACGCAGAAGAUAAUUUUGCAAUGGCUGCCUAAGGGCAACCCCGUUCUCUGAGUUCUGUCUGGCGGCAAGGAUGAACGGCCAAUAGUCGGACUGGCGUGAAAUGAUUUCCGUAGUUUUGCGCAAGAUUAACGGAAUAGCAAAUUUUUGACCCGUCAUUAGGUUGGGGAAAUGCGAAACAAAUAAAUGAUGACUGCGCUCGGAGAAAUUUGUCUACCAAUAUUUUCGGACAGGGGUUCGACUCCCCUCAUCUCCACCA